GUCUACGGCCAUCCUACCCUGAACAAGCCCGAUCCCGUCUGAUCUCGGAAGCUAAGCAGAGUCGGGCCUGAUUAGUACUUGGAUGGGAGACCACCUAGGAAGACCAGCUGCUGUAGGCA
Pteropus alecto (black flying fox) is the source of this 119-nucleotide non-coding RNA. The record is from Rfam. NCBI's taxonomy places the organism in Eukaryota, Metazoa, Chordata, Mammalia, Chiroptera, Pteropodidae.